Molecule: ribosomal RNA, 468 nt
Filed under: uncultured bacterium
Lineage: Bacteria
Description: partial 16S ribosomal RNA
Rfam family: Bacterial small subunit ribosomal RNA
Source: RNAcentral
GACGAACGCUGGCGGCGUGCUUAACACAUGCCAGUCGAACGGAAAGGCCCUGCUUUUGUGGGGUGCUCGAGUGGCGAACGGGUGAGUAACACGUGAGUAACCUGCCCUUGACUUUGGGAUAACUUCAGGAAACUGGGGCUAAUACCGGAUAGGAGCUCCUGCUGCAUGGUGGGGGUUGGAAAGUUUCGGCGGUUGGGGAUGGACUCGCGGCUUAUCAGCUUGUUGGUGGGGUAGUGGCUUACCAAGGCUUUGACGGGUAGCCGGCCUGAGAGGGUGACCGGCCACAUUGGGACUGAGAUACGGCCCAGACUCCUACGGGAGGCAGCAGUGGGGAAUAUUGCACAAUGGGCGGAAGCCUGAGGCAGCAACGCCGCGUGCGGGAUGACGGCCUUCGGGUUGGAAACCGCUUUCGCCUGUGACGAAGCGUGAGUGACGGUAAUGGGUAAAGAAGCACCGGCUAACUACGUG